AUCCUGGCUCAGGAUGAACGCUAGCGGCAGGCUUAACACAUGCAAGUCGAGGGGUAUAGUUCUUCGGAACUAGAGACCGGCGCACGGGUGCGUAAUGCGUAUGCAAUCUACCUUUUGCAGAGGGAUAGCCCAGAGAAAUUUGGAUUAAUACCUCAUAGUAUAGCAGUUUCGCAUGAAACCACUAUUAAAGUCACAACGGCAAAAGAUGAGCAUGCGUCCCAUUAGCUUGUUGGUAAGGUAACGGCUUACCAAGGCAACGAUGGGUAGGGGUCCUGAGAGGGAGAUCCCCCCACACUGGUACUGAGACACGGACCAGACUCCUACGGGAGGCAGCAGUGAGGAAUAUUGGACAAUGGGCGCAAGCCUGAUCCAGCCAUGCCGCGUGCAGGAUGACGGUCCUAUGGAUUGUAAACUGCUUUUGUACAGGAAGAAACACUGGUUCGUGAACCGGCUUGACGGUACUGUAAGAAUAAGGAUCGGCUAACUCCGUG
RNAcentral lists this ribosomal RNA (491 nucleotides) under uncultured bacterium. RNAcentral describes it as "bacterial SSU rRNA". It matches the Rfam family "Bacterial small subunit ribosomal RNA", at positions 16 to 507 of the family's 1533-position model. The record is from RNAcentral.